CCCUUAGAUGUUCUGGGCCGCACGCGCGCUACACUGACUGGUUCAUCGAGUAUACAACCUUGACUGAUAGGUCUGGGUAAUCUUCUCAAAGCCAGUCGUGCUGGGGAUAGAUUAUUGUAAUUUUUAAUCUUCAACGAGGAAUUCCUAGUAAACGCGAGUCAUCAACUCGCAUUGAUUACGUCCCUGCCCUUUGUACACACCGCCCGUCGCUACUACCGAUUGAACGGUUUAGUGAGGGCCUCGGAUUGGUCUCGGCCCGCUCUUCACCGGGCGGCGCCGUUGGUCGAGAAGACGCUCGAACUUGAUCGUUUAGAGGAAGUAAAAGUCGUAACA
Molecule: ribosomal RNA, 333 nt
Filed under: uncultured eukaryote
Lineage: Eukaryota
Description: partial 18S ribosomal RNA
Rfam family: Eukaryotic small subunit ribosomal RNA
Source: RNAcentral